UACAGAGGUGGCGAGCGUUGUUCGGAUUUACUGGGCGUAAAGGGCGCGUAGGUGGUCUCGUAUGUCGGGUGUGAAAUCCCACGGCUUAACUGUGGAACUGCAUCCGAAACUGCGAGGCUAGAGUGCAGGAGGGGAGAGCGGAAUUCUUGGUGUAGCGGUGAAAUGCGUUGAUAUCAAGAAGAACACCGGUGGCGAAGGCGGCUCUCUGGAAUGCAACUGACACUGAGGCGCGAAAGCUGGGGGAG
This 245-nucleotide ribosomal RNA is filed under the name uncultured bacterium. Its description in RNAcentral is "partial 16S ribosomal RNA". It matches the Rfam family "Bacterial small subunit ribosomal RNA", at positions 524 to 768 of the family's 1533-position model. The record is from RNAcentral.